This 468-nucleotide ribosomal RNA is filed under the name uncultured bacterium. Its description in RNAcentral is "partial 16S ribosomal RNA". It matches the Rfam family "Bacterial small subunit ribosomal RNA", at positions 28 to 507 of the family's 1533-position model. The record is from RNAcentral.
GACGAACGCUGGCGGCGUGCUUAACACAUGCAAGUCGAACGGAAAGGCCCUGCUUUUGUGGGGUGCUCGAGUGGCGAACGGGUGAGUAACACGUGAGUAACCUGCCCUUGACUUUGGGAUAACUUCAGGAAACUGGGGCUAAUACCGGAUAGCAGCUCCUGCUCCAUGGUGGGGGUUGGAAAGUUUCGGCGGUUGGGGAUGGACUCGCGGCUUAUCAGCUUGUUGGUUGGGUAGUGGCUUACCAAGGCUUUGACGGGUCGCCGGCAUGAGAGGGUGACCGGCCACAAGGGGACUGAGAUACGGCCCAGACUCCUACGGGAGGCAGCAGUGGGGAAUAUGGCACAAUGGGCGGAAGCCUGAUGCAGCAACGCCGCGUGCGGGAUGACGGCCUUCGGGUUGUAAACCGCUUUCGCCUGUGACGAAGCGUGAGUGACGGUAAUGGGUAAAGAAGCACCGGCUAACUACGUG